UACGUAGGGCGCAAGCGUUGUCCGGAAUUAUUGGGCGUAAAGAGCUCGUAGGCGGUCUGUCGCGUCGGUUGUGAAAACACAAGGCUCAACCUUGUGCCUGCAAUCGAUACGGGCAGACUAGAGUACUGCAGGGGAGACUGGAAUUCCUGGUGUAGCGGUGGAAUGCGCAGAUAUCAGGAGGAACACCGGUGGCGAAGGCGGGUCUCUGGGCAGUAACUGACGCUGAGGAGCGAAAGCGUGGGGGAGCGAACAGG
This 254-nucleotide ribosomal RNA is filed under the name uncultured bacterium. Its description in RNAcentral is "partial 16S ribosomal RNA". It matches the Rfam family "Bacterial small subunit ribosomal RNA", at positions 524 to 776 of the family's 1533-position model. The record is from RNAcentral.